GUCGAACGAGAAAGUCCCCUUCGGGGGAUAAGUAAAGUGGCGCACGGGUGAGUAACACGUAGGUAAUCUACCUUCGGGUGGGGAAUAACCCAGGGAAACUUGGGCUAACACCGCAUAAUGCAGCGGCACCACAUGGUGACAGUUGUUAAAGCGGGGGAUUUUCGGACCUCGCGCCUGAAGAGGAGCCUGCGGCGGAUUAGCUAGUUGGUAAGGUAACGGCUUACCAAGGCGACGAUCCGUAGCCGGCCUGAGAGGGCGGUCGGCCACACUGACACUGACAUACGGGUCAGACUCCUACGGGAGGCAGCAGUCGGGAAUUUUGGGCAAUGGGCGAAAGCCUGACCCAGCAACGCCGCGUGAAGGAUGAAAUCCCUCGGGAUGUAAACUUCGCAAGAAUGGGAAGAAUUAGCGAGCGCUAAUACCGCUCGUGAUGACGGUACCAUUUGUAAGCUCCGGCUAACUCCGUGCCAGCAGCCGCGGUAAUACGGGGGGAGCAAGCGUUGUUCGGAUUUACUGGGCGUAAAGGGCGCGUAGGCGGUCAGCACAAGUCAGUUGUGAAAUCUCCGGGCUUAACUCGGAAAGGUCAACUGAUACUGUGCGACUAGAGUGCGGAAGGGGCAACUGGAAUUCUCGGUGUAGCGGUGAAAUGCGUAGAUAUCGAGAGGAACACCUGCGGCGAAAGCGGGUUGCUGGGCCGACACUGACGCUGA
RNAcentral lists this ribosomal RNA (710 nucleotides) under uncultured bacterium. Its description in RNAcentral is "bacterial SSU rRNA". It matches the Rfam family "Bacterial small subunit ribosomal RNA", at positions 61 to 749 of the family's 1533-position model. The record is from RNAcentral.